This 69-nucleotide transfer RNA is filed under the name Amitermes sp. QLD_087. RNAcentral describes it as "tRNA-Pro". RNAcentral also lists the same sequence under 1 other name. The record is from RNAcentral. Lineage: Eukaryota; Metazoa; Arthropoda; Insecta; Blattodea; Termitidae.
CAGGGGGUAUUUUAUGUUUAAAAUAUUAGUUUUGGGGAUUAAUGAAAUGGUAUUUCACCUUUCCUCUGA